UACGUAGGGUGCAAGCGUUGUCCGGAAUUACUGGGCGUAAAGAGCUCGUAGGCGGUCUGUCGCGUCGGAUGUGAAAACUCGGGGCUCAACCCCGGGCCUGCAUUCGAUACGGGCAGACUAGAGUACGGCAGGGGAGACUGGAAUUCCUGGUGUAGCGGUGAAAUGCGCAGAUAUCAGGAGGAACACCGGUGGCGAAGGCGGGUCUCUGGGCCGAAACUGACGCUGAGGAGCGAAAGCGUGGGGAGCAAACAGG
RNAcentral lists this ribosomal RNA (253 nucleotides) under uncultured bacterium. Its description in RNAcentral is "partial 16S ribosomal RNA". It matches the Rfam family "Bacterial small subunit ribosomal RNA", at positions 524 to 776 of the family's 1533-position model. The record is from RNAcentral.